This 783-nucleotide ribosomal RNA is filed under the name Triticum aestivum (bread wheat). RNAcentral's name for it is "partial small subunit ribosomal RNA". The record is from RNAcentral. Lineage: Eukaryota; Viridiplantae; Streptophyta; Magnoliopsida; Poales; Poaceae.
AUGAGUAUCACAAAAGGUGACCUGGAAUGCAUGCUAUUUGAUGAAGACGCAGAACCACAGGCCCUGCCACUCUCUCUUUUGGAGGAAACCACGGAUAAUUUCUCUGAUGAGAUGCAAAUUGGAAUUGGUGCCUUCGCGGUGGUUUAUAAGGCAAGACUUCAUAACAGUGUCAUCGCUGUAAAGAGGUUGUCUAAGGCGUACAUGUUUGAGAAAGAAUUCCACCGAGAGGUGGAAUGUCUCAUGAUGGUGAAGCACAAAAAUGUCGUACGUUUUCUAUGAUAUUGUGUCGACACACAAGGGAGUAUGGCAAGAUACCGAGGUAAGUUUGUUAUGGCAGAUGUGCAACAAAGGUUGCUCUGCUUCGAAUAUCUACAUAAAGGAAGUCUUGAGAAUUAUAUAACAGAUCCAUCCAGCGGGCUUGACUGGAGAACCCGCUACAAUAUAAUUAAGGGCAUCUGUGAGGGGUUAUGUUAUCUUCACCAAAAAAGAAUUCUCCACUUGGAUCUAAAACCAGCGAACAUAUUGUUGGACAACGAUAUGAUGCCGAAAAUUACUGAUUUCGGACUAUCAAGGUGUUUUGAUGAUGACCAAACAAGUGUCAUUACUAGAGACAUAGGCGGAACGAUUGGAUAUUUGGCACCAGAGUUCUCCAACUAUGAAAUCACAAAUAAGUUUGACUAAUACAGUCUUGGUGUUAUUAUUAUAGAGACGUUGACUGGAAGCAAGGGCUAUCAAGCUGUUGAGGAAGUGAGAACGAUUUAUAUAUGUAGUCACUCCAAGUGA